CUUCUGUGGUACAUUAGUGCUGCUUCAGAUGAACUGGUAGCAGGUGAAAACUAAACAGGUUCAGGAGCUCUGGGGACAGCAGUUUUACUGCAGGCAGGGAGGCAGAUAAUGGAAAACAGGAACAACAGGCAGAAGGGAAAAGAUUAUUUACUUUUGUGCUUUUAAGCUGGGCUCUGUGGUAUGAAGCUAUUGCCCGGCUUUCCACUUGCAAAUGACAUUCUUGUUUUUCUUCAUUUUGUCUUCAAAAUGGACAACCUCAAGAGAAUAUUAUACAGGAAACGUUUUUAAAACACUCCUGCCUGCAGGGCUGGCACUGUGCUAAAUUGGACCUCUGGGAAUCAAUGCUUCCUCUCUCUGCUGACAAAAGGUGUUAUGUCAGCCAGCAGACCAGUGGAGGUGGAGUAGGAGGUUUGCAGAACUUUUGAAAGAACAUCAGAGGACCAGUAUGGAACACCAUCAUCACAGAAUUAAUCUGGAGCCAUUUGUACCUACUGGAGGCUUCAGGAUCGAUGCCAGUGCACCCCCAACUGAGGACAGAACAUACCUACACCUCCAUUAAGAAUGCCAGUUUCAAGAUGCAGGUGAUACAUUUACACUGGAGCUCAGGAUAGUUCUAACCUCAUAAUUGCAUCUGAGAGGAUACAAACAGAAACAUUUAGCUUAUUAAAAGGCAAAUACCAGCUUCUGAACAAUAAUUCUUCCAGGUGCUUUGUAAGCUUCAGGAUAAAAAAGACAGCAUGAAUCCCUCCCAUGAACAAACAAGAACUACAGUCAAAAUUAUUAAUUAUGCCUUCUAUCUAGCUGCCUCAAUGUUAUGAUCUAUCUGUAUCUUAUUCCAGAGUGGCCAGUACCACAGCAUCCAAGUGCGGGACACCCAGGGCUAAAUUAUGAAUUAGACUACAAACUCUUGCAGGGGAGGAAGUGAGAUGUAAGAAACUAUCCCUACAUGCACACAUUCAUAGAUGGGCUAAUUGUACCUUGUGUCUGCACAUGCAAGAAAAAGCAAAUGUACCCCCAGAGAAGAGGGAUUGUGAGGGCUGAAAAGGGGUGGAACUUUGGCUUUGUUCUUCCCCUCGCAAUCUACUGGCUGAUGCGACUGAGCUGUCAUAGCAUGUCACAGUUUGCAGUUGGAAUGCCCAGCAGCAAACAACUGUCCUCUUCAGCCUCAGAGCAAGGAAAGAGUGGGGAAUGAUUUGUACCACACAUACAGGUACAAUGUCUCCAGGGGCUAUUUCUGAGUUGGUGCAGCUUAUGCAUCACCCCUUUCUCAGGGCUGUACCUAAGGGGACAAUUUAGCCCUUAGACAGAAGGUCUUAGAAAGCCCAAUUUGAUUAGAUAUUGGAGCUGGACAAAUUUUCUGUGAAUAUUUCCUUCAAAAUUUCUGGGCCUGAUUCUGCCAUCUUUACUCAGUUAGGUAGCAGUUCUAUUCAAUGUGACUAAGGGUGGCAGCGUCAGGCCUGUUACAGAGUGAGUUAAAUCUACAAGUCUCACCUCUGAUCUAGGGCUGUGUUUCCUCCUAAAUUAGGGAAGUUGGAGGACAGAGUCAUAUGACCUAGUGAUAGCAGGACUAUAUAAGGCUCCCGGUGUUUCAAUUGAGAAGAAUACUCUAGGGGAGCAGGAUGAGUUUGGACGUUUCUCUGUGGUGCCCCAGGGAAGAGACCUGGGAAGGGAGUUGGGUUAAGGAUGUAGCAACAGAAGGGCCAGCAGCAGAACGUUAGAAGGACCUGAGCAGGGAGGCCUUUCAUAAGUGAGGGGUCUGGAGCAAGACCUGUGAUGAUUUCCUGGCUGAAAGGGCACAAGGAAGGAUAAAGCUUGGCAGAGGUCUGUUUAAAGAGGCCAAGGAGAAAGCCUCCAUAGUGAUACUUGAAGUAGCGAAUAACCCUGGGAAAUAGUGGAGUAGGAUAAUCUUGGGCUUGGGACAGACUCCUGCUCAUAGGGUGACCAGGUGUCUGAUCAAAAAGGGACCCUGGCAGCUCCAGUCAGCGCCACCAACCGGGCCGUUAAAAGCCUAGGUGGUAGUGCUGCAGCGCUAAGGCAGGCUAGUGCCUACCUGUCUUGAGGCACUGUGUUGUGCUCCGGAAAUGGCCAGCAGGCCUGGCUUCUAGGUAGGAGGGCCAUGGGGCUCUGCUUGCUGCUCCCACUCAGAGCAGCGGCUCUGCGCUGCCAUUGGCCUGGAACUUAUACCUGCACUUCUGAGUUAUGCACUUAUGAUUGGCAAAUAGGGUCCUGGACUGUGAGACUUGUCUGACAAAUCAAAACUCAAUAACCUAGCAGAAAUAGCCAAUAGCAGUAAACUGUUUGCAAAUAAUUGAUAGUUAACAAAAUUGUAAAAUACAAAUAACAAAAAAUGGCUACAUUAAUCAGAUAGGCUAUUCAUUUUAUUGCUCCCAUCUAACAGGGUUAUAUUAUACAGAUAUACGGAAAGGAACCCCUAUAUAAAGUGGUGAAUCUGACCUUCCUUAGACAUACUAGACGGUACUGUAAUCUCUGCUACUCUUCAGAAAUAGAAACAUCAAAAUAUAUUAACAUAUAUGUAUGUAUGUGAUUAAUAUGCUUGCAUUCAUAAUUACCUGCUAAUGUUCAUAUUCAACUUUAAUAUUUAAAAGUAAGUGUGUGUGUGGAAAAUUGUUGAAAUUAUAUGAGCAUCAAAUAGUUACGUAAGGUGUGGGCAACCUUUCAGAAGUGGUGUGCCGAGUCUUCAUUUUUUCACUCUGAUUUAAGGUUUUGCAUGCCAGUAAUACAUUUUAAUGUUUUUAGAAGGUCUCUUUCUACAAGUCUCUAAUAUAUAACUAAACUAUUGUUGUAUAUAAAUUAAAUAAGGUUUUUUUUAAUAAGCUUCAUUUAAAAUUAAAUUAAAAUGCAGAGCCCCCCAAACCGGUGGCCAGGACCCGAGCAGUGUGAGUGCCACUGAAAAUCAGCUCGCAUGCCGCCUUCGGCAUGGGUGCCAUAGGUUGCCUACCCCUGAUUUACAUCCUUGAUACCUCCAGGUACUCUAAUUCAAUGUAGAUGAAGCUGGCAGUCUGUGCUAAACCUCAACUAAGUGCAUGAAAACUGAUUAACAACAAAGCUACAAGCUCCAGCAGUUCCUGCAGUCAGGUCAUUGACCCAAUCUUCAAUAACAGGCUUUUGUACAGAUACCAGGCUCCCAUUCAAACGGUGUGGGAGGCAGGAAUGAGAGAUACAGUCUUGUCUAUUCAGUUGGAUGAAGAUUCACAAGGUUUUUUUGUUGUUUUUUUUUUCCCCCCCAGAGAGAAAAACAUUGCCAUUACACAAAUUUUCUACCAGGUCCACUUAUGUUCUAUUAAAUGCUUCCUGAUGUGUUGUGCUAAUGUUCUCAUUAUUUAGAAGGAAAAAAGAAGACAAUUUGUUUCCAGGAGAGCAAAAGGCCUUAAUUUUCUUAACAUGUUUAUCUCA
Gopherus flavomarginatus (Mexican gopher tortoise) is the source of this 3414-nucleotide long non-coding RNA. RefSeq lists it as uncharacterized. Lineage: Eukaryota; Metazoa; Chordata; Testudines; Testudinidae. The record is from RefSeq and is a predicted model, not a curated record. The transcript has 4 exons.